This 1138-nucleotide ribosomal RNA is filed under the name Pseudoalteromonas sp. KJF5-6. RNAcentral's name for it is "bacterial SSU rRNA". It matches the Rfam family "Bacterial small subunit ribosomal RNA", at positions 399 to 1530 of the family's 1533-position model. The record is from RNAcentral. Lineage: Bacteria; Pseudomonadati; Pseudomonadota; Gammaproteobacteria; Alteromonadales; Pseudoalteromonadaceae.
GCGUGUGUGAAGAAGGCCUUCGGGUUGUAAAGCACUUUCAGUCAGGAGGAAAGGUUAACGGUUAAUACCCGUUAGCUGUGACGUUACUGACAGAAGAAGCACCGGCUAACUCCGUGCCAGCAGCCGCGGUAAUACGGAGGGUGCGAGCGUUAAUCGGAAUUACUGGGCGUAAAGCGUACGCAGGCGGUUUGUUAAGCGAGAUGUGAAAGCCCCGGGCUCAACCUGGGAACUGCAUUUCGAACUGGCAAACUAGAGUGUGAUAGAGGGUGGUAGAAUUUCAGGUGUAGCGGUGAAAUGCGUAGAGAUCUGAAGGAAUACCGAUGGCGAAGGCAGCCACCUGGGUCAACACUGACGCUCAUGUACGAAAGCGUGGGGAGCAAACGGGAUUAGAUACCCCGGUAGUCCACGCCGUAAACGAUGUCUACUAGAAGCUCGGAGCCUCGGUUCUGUUUUUCAAAGCUAACGCAUUAAGUAGACCGCCUGGGGAGUACGGCCGCAAGGUUAAAACUCAAAUGAAUUGACGGGGGCCCGCACAAGCGGUGGAGCAUGUGGUUUAAUUCGAUGCAACGCGAAGAACCUUACCUACACUUGACAUACAGAGAACUUACCAGAGAUGGUUUGGUGCCUUCGGGAACUCUGAUACAGGUGCUGCAUGGCUGUCGUCAGCUCGUGUUGUGAGAUGUUGGGUUAAGUCCCGCAACGAGCGCAACCCCUAUCCUUAGUUGCUAGCAGGUAAUGCUGAGAACUCUAAGGAGACUGCCGGUGAUAAACCGGAGGAAGGUGGGGACGACGUCAAGUCAUCAUGGCCCUUACGUGUAGGGCUACACACGUGCUACAAUGGCGCAUACAGAGUGCUGCGAACUCGCGAGAGUAAGCGAAUCACUUAAAGUGCGUCGUAGUCCGGAUUGGAGUCUGCAACUCGACUCCAUGAAGUCGGAAUCGCUAGUAAUCGCGUAUCAGAAUGACGCGGUGAAUACGUUCCCGGGCCUUGUACACACCGCCCGUCACACCAUGGGAGUGGGUUGCUCCAGAAGUAGAUAGUCUAACCCUCGGGAGGACGUUUACCACGGAGUGAUUCAUGACUGGGGUGAAGUCGUAACAAGGUAGCCCUAGGGGAACCUGCGGCUGGAUCACCUCC